GGCCUAUGGGGCGCAGCAGGCGAGAAAACUUUGCAAUGUGCGAAAGCACGACAAGGUUAAUCCGAGUGGUUUCUGCUAAAGGAACCUUUUGA
RNAcentral lists this ribosomal RNA (92 nucleotides) under uncultured marine group I thaumarchaeote. Its description in RNAcentral is "partial 16S ribosomal RNA". It matches the Rfam family "Archaeal small subunit ribosomal RNA", at positions 319 to 413 of the family's 1478-position model. The record is from RNAcentral. Lineage: Archaea; Thermoproteati; Nitrososphaerota.